AGGUGAGACCAUACCAUCACUGAUGCAUGAGAUCUUAUCAGAACUCUGCACUUAAGCGAUCUUGAGCGAGAAUAGUACUAACAUGGUACAAUGAGUGACCUCCCGGAAAGUCCUCGUGUUGCAUUUG
RNAcentral lists this ribosomal RNA (127 nucleotides) under Trifolium pratense (red clover). The record is from RNAcentral. Lineage: Eukaryota; Viridiplantae; Streptophyta; Magnoliopsida; Fabales; Fabaceae.